GGGCAGGUGGCUCAGUGGUAGAGUGCUCGCCUUGCACGCCUGAGGCCCUGGGUUCGAUUCCUCAGCUCCCCA
Molecule: non-coding RNA, 72 nt
Organism: Dipodomys ordii (Ord's kangaroo rat)
Lineage: Eukaryota; Metazoa; Chordata; Mammalia; Rodentia; Heteromyidae
Source: Rfam